AUGGCUCAGCAUUUAAGAGCACUGGAUCCUCUUCCAGAGGUCCUGGGUUUGAUUCCCAGU
Molecule: transfer RNA, 60 nt
Filed under: Neotoma lepida (desert woodrat)
Lineage: Eukaryota; Metazoa; Chordata; Mammalia; Rodentia; Cricetidae
Rfam family: tRNA
About the family: Transfer RNA (tRNA) molecules are approximately 80 nucleotides in length. Their secondary structure includes four short double-helical elements and three loops (D, anti-codon, and T loops).
Source: Rfam by way of RNAcentral